GAUGAACGCUGGCGGCGUGCCUAAUACAUGCAAGUCGAGCGAACGGACGAGAAGCUUGCCUCUCUGAUGUUAGCGGCGGACGGGUGAGUAACACGUGGAUACCCUACCUAUAAGACUGGGAUAACUUCGGGAAACCGGAGCUAAUACCGGAUAAUAUUUUGAACCGCAUGGUUCAAAAGUGAAAGACGGUCUUGCUGUCACUUAUAGAUGGAUCCGCGCUGCAUUAGCUAGUUGGUAAGGUAACGGCUUACCAAGGCAACGAUGCAUAGCCGACCUGAGAGGGUGAUCGGCCACACUGGAACUGAGACACGGUCCAGACUCCUACGGGAGGCAGCAGUAGGGAAUCUUCCGCAAUGGGCGAAAGCCUGACGGAGCAACGCCGCGUGAGUGAUGAAGGUCUUCGGAUCGUAAAACUCUGUUAUUAGGGAAGAACAUAUGUGUAAGUAACUGUGCACAUCUUGACGGUACCGAAUCAGAAAGCCACGGCUAACUACGUG
This 497-nucleotide ribosomal RNA is filed under the name uncultured bacterium. Its description in RNAcentral is "partial 16S ribosomal RNA". It matches the Rfam family "Bacterial small subunit ribosomal RNA", at positions 28 to 507 of the family's 1533-position model. The record is from RNAcentral.